CGUCCAAUAAUCCUUUUAUAUGGCUGAUGAUAACACAACUAGACCGUACGGAAACUAGAUUAAAAAAAGUGCACAGCCUCUGUAAUCAAAAUCAUAUAGCAUUAAAAAAUGUUAAAGGAAUGCUAAAGAAAGAUGAAAUGACGGAAAUUAAAUCGAAAGUCCAAAGUUUGGAAGAUUGCUGUAAGAAACAGAAGACACAAAUAACAAGUUUAGAAUCAAAUGUUAGUAUUCAAAAGAGAGAAUGCAGAAGUAUCCAAGCUCAACAAAGAGCGGUUACCUCAAUAUUUGAUAAAAUGCAGAAGAAAUGACGGACAUGCAGUUAGAAAUACUGGAUUUGAAGAAAAGAACAUGUCCACAGGACUGGAUGUUUUUUAUGGAUCAUUGCUAUUUGUUCGUGUAUAAGAAGGUGACAUGGAAUACUGCUAAGAAUGAAUGCCAACAAAAAAGUGGUUACUUGGUGAAGGUUGAAAGUGAAGCAGAGAAUUCAUGGUUGAUUUCAGCAUUGAAUGCUGAAUGAGUGAUAUCCAGACGGAAGGACAGUGGAGGUAGGCGUCUGAUAAUACUGGGAUAAUCUUUAGUUACUGGCAACCUCGUGAACCAAAUAGCGGAAGGAGAGAAAACUGCGUAAAUUAUUGGAAGACUAUAUGUGGACUGAACGCUUAUGGAUGAUAUGAUCUUCCAUGCAACUAUUCAAUAGGAUAUGUCUGUGAAAAAACAACUUAAAAUAUUAAAUAUAAGCAUAUCAAA
Molecule: RNA transcript, 747 nt
Organism: Mytilus californianus (California mussel)
Lineage: Eukaryota; Metazoa; Mollusca; Bivalvia; Mytilida; Mytilidae
Gene name: perlucin-like protein
Exons: 4
Source: RefSeq, a predicted model, not a curated record